Molecule: unclassified non-coding RNA, 147 nt
Filed under: soil metagenome
Description: partial internal transcribed spacer 1
Source: RNAcentral
GUGAUUAAAUCGAGGUGUCAUUUACAUUGACCGCUCACCCUUCUCACAUUCACAUAACUUGUGCACUGUUUAUGCUGAGCCGGUUUUCGAGUCCAGUAUCACUAUACAAACUCUAGUCUAUGAAUGUAAACGUUUAAUAACAUAAUA